This 301-nucleotide ribosomal RNA is filed under the name uncultured bacterium. Its description in RNAcentral is "partial 16S ribosomal RNA". It matches the Rfam family "Bacterial small subunit ribosomal RNA", at positions 509 to 807 of the family's 1533-position model. The record is from RNAcentral.
CAGUCGCCGCGGGAAUACGUAGGUGGCAAGCGUUGUCCGGAAUUAUUGGGCGUAAAGGGCUCGCAGGCGGUUUCUUAAGUCUGAUGUGAAAGCCCCCGGCUCAACCGGGGAGGGUCAUUGGAAACUGGGAAACUUGAGUGCAGAAGAGGAGAGUGGAAUUCCACGUGUAGCGGUGAAAUGCGUAGAGAUGUGGAGGAACACCAGUGGCGAAGGCGACUCUCUGGUCUGUAACUGACGCUGAGGAGCGAAAGCGUGGGGAGCGAACAGGAUUAGAUACCCCUGUAGUCCCUGUCUCUUAUAC